This is a non-coding RNA of Ictidomys tridecemlineatus (thirteen-lined ground squirrel), 778 nucleotides long. NCBI's taxonomy places the organism in Eukaryota, Metazoa, Chordata, Mammalia, Rodentia, Sciuridae. The record is from RefSeq and is a predicted model, not a curated record.
GUGCCUAGUUCCUUCAUUUUAUAUUGAACAUGAGGACAUUCAAUUUCUCAGUUUAGUUAUAGAUUUCUAGAAGGAAGCAAUCAUGUGGAGAAUGAGUGUGGUCCAAGUGCUAUUUGCUUUUCAACAGAGGUUCAAGAAUAAUGAUCACAAAGAAGAGAAGCACUCAGCAAUUCUGAAAUGUUUUCAUAGCACACGAAGAAAUGAAUCUUUUAGAAGUCAACCGCCAUUCUUGGAGGAGACGCAUUGAAUUGAAGCAGGUCAGCCUCUGGUGUAGUAGGAGUGGGAGCUGGAAUCAGAGGGUGCGGGGAAUUCAGCCAGGAAACGACUGCCUGCACAAAUGGAUGUUCAGACUUAGGAAGCAGUGAACUGAGCAAACCAGUCAGCUGGAACAGAGGAAGAAAUAAGCGGAAUUCAUUUUCAGUCAGGUGACCCCAUUGUGGAACUAUCUUCUUGCAGCAUUCAGUUCCCCUGAAUGAUAAUUCCACCAAGCAGUGCACAGGAGAGGGUAGAUUUAAUCCCUGAAGUAAUGUGUAUCUAGUGAAUGCUGUUUAGCCGAUUAGGUUGUGCAAUUUCUAAAACUACAGAUACUGCUUUUGAUACUCUUUGCCUGAUUCAUCAAGCUCCCCACAAAACACCAUCUAUCAUCAGAUCUUUGACCAAAAUGAAAACAAAGAGCUCAUCAGGUAUGGGGAAAAUAAAUUUAUGUAAAUUGAUAGCAGCAAAUGCUCCAUGAAUAAAUAGAUUCUUACUUCAUUAUGCUAAAAAAGAACCCUUUCAU